CCUGUGCUCAAAAGUGGGACUUUUGGAAGGGAAUUGAAUUAUGGGUGCAGGACAGCUGAUUGCUAUUAGAAGGUGCUCAGAGGAGGCAGGCACUGUGGGCGUGGCCCAGAAGGGUGUAGCACUCUUUCUGCUUCCUGUCUGCCAUUGCCGUAAGCAGCUCUCCCCCACCAUGCCCUUCUGCCAUACCAUCCUGCCUCGGAGCCGGAGGACCAUGCAAGGACUGAAACUACUAAAAUGUGAGCCAAAAUACACCUUUCCUCUUUUAAGUUGUGGGUGUCAGGUAUUAUAUCUCAGCGAUGAGGAGGCGACUAAGAUGUGGCCCAUCAUUAUCUAGGUUGAUCUGAGAACAAACCGCAGCACCUGAAAGCACAUGGCCAGCUGAUGGAUGUUUGGCUCUGAUGGGCCAUUUUACAAGAUGCCUUAGGAAGGCAGGGAGUUUCAUCGCGAGUCCUUCAAACUGGUGCUGAGCCACAAACCAGCCAAGAUUGUAGAAUGUGUCACAUUCAGAAAGCAUCAAGCCAAUGCCAGCCCAGGCUGUGCUUCCAGAUGAGCAAGGCCCUCCUUCUGGGUUUGGAUACUGACUGAAGUUUUGCUUUCACGGUGACUGACACCUUCAUAAGGAUUCUAUCAGAUAAAAUUCCAGGUUUUUAAUUGCCAAAAGCCCAAGACCUCAUCUCCUCACACCUUGGCCCCCGACAGAGAAAUCCAAAGCAGAAGCUCUUUUUUUUAGAAAAAAAUUGAACUGACACAUAACAAUUGCAGGCAUUUGUGGUGUGAAUCACAGUGUGAUCGUUCAAUACAUAUGUACAGUGUGUAAAGAUCAGACCAGGAAGAACAAUGCAGCCACUCGCUCAGAAAAGCCAAGUCUUGAGGACACUCCUGAGACUUCUCCGGCUUCCUCCAUGAUCAGUGGCUUACUGAGACCAGUUGGGUGAUAAGCAAGAGCAACUGUCAGUAAAUGGAGAAGUCAAGGAUGUUCACCAGAGGCUGCAGAACAUGCAAGUCAUGGAACAAGACCAAGGAAAAGGGAGACUUGAUUAUUUCUGUAAGGAAGAAGGAGGGGUGGUAGAUCGAGGGAACAAGGAAUAUCCUUGAAAAUGAGGUCAGUUAAAUGGACGAGAGGGAUACGAACAUGCAGUGGGGUAGGGUAUGAAUGAAACCAUCUGAAAAACCAAGAGAGGCCCACAUUCCCACUCAGAGGCAACCCAGUUGAGGGCUUGCCCAGGACCGCUCCCUGCUUGAGCUACCCAAGGGAGGAGACUUGCUAGGGAAGGACACAAUGCUUUCUUCCCCAGUUUUGCUCCUGAAUCCACACAGCAGCACACAAUGAUCCCCAGAAAACACCUGCUGACAUCAUUCCUGCCUUCUAGCAGAUGGGCAGUUUGGGGGAAGGCAGAUAAGCACAUGUUCAGUCCAUAGGGCGAUGGUUUCUGCCCCACGGUGACUGCUGAGGUCUCCAGUGCAGCUUCAAUGACACACAUGGUACCCCAUGGGCCCACCGAUGUUCCCCUCCUUGGAGCCAAGCUAGUGACCCACCUGUGAGCAGGAAAAGAGGGAAAUGGAGGACAGCUUUACAUGUUAACCCUUGACCUGGUUUGCCCUCUAAUUAAGAGCAGUUAACUGAGUUUUACUUCACCUCCAGGAGAGUAAAAGGACUGUGAAUUUAUCUACUCUCCUUGGAAUUCCAGAUAGUUUGGGAUCUUAUAUUUAUUUCCACUGACAGUGCAGAUUUAUAAAAAGAUACACAAAGGCAUGUGUCUUAAUUAGCAUUACCAAAAAAGGUCUUAUGAACUAAAGCACACACGAUUAGGUUUUCUUAAGGUAUUUUAUUUUCUAAAUGCAUUUAAUGUAAAAUUUCCCAUACUCAAAACAUGUUUAUUUAUGAAGACAAGGAGAGAGGAUUUUUGUUGGUUUCUCCCUGAAUGUGUUCCCCACUUUCCUCUUCCUAAGAGACCUGGAAUUUCCCAGCCAGAUAGCUUGGAUGAAAUUGGUUUCACCCUUUCAAGUCCUGGGAUGAUCCAUCCCGCCUAGUCAAUCAAAGCCAGUGAGAUUCAGUGAGGGGAUUUCAGUUCAGCUAUUGGAGAAGUGAUGUCUUCCUGCUAUGUACUACCUGGAAACUUGUACCAGGAGGGGAGGGCCUGCCUGUGAAUAAAACCGCCAAGCACCAAGGUGGCAGAGGUAAGAGGUGGAAGGGGUCCUAGUCACAGGAUUGAGGCCAUGAAUGUAGCCUCAUUUUGGAAAACUUCCUACAGGAAUCAAUGCAUAUGCUGAGCUGAGACAGCUUAGGUCAGGUUUUUCCAUUAUUUGCAACCAAAACAUCCUAUGAAAAUACCUAGCAUCUAUACAAUGAUGCAAGGAUCUAAAACUGUUUUUCGAUCAUUGAGCCUGGC
Molecule: long non-coding RNA, 2390 nt
Organism: Heterocephalus glaber (naked mole-rat)
Lineage: Eukaryota; Metazoa; Chordata; Mammalia; Rodentia; Bathyergidae
Source: Ensembl